RNAcentral lists this long non-coding RNA (459 nucleotides) under Mytilus galloprovincialis (Mediterranean mussel). The record is from RNAcentral. Lineage: Eukaryota; Metazoa; Mollusca; Bivalvia; Mytilida; Mytilidae.
GUCUAGGAAUCAGGUAACUAGUUUAUACUUAAUGGGUUGUUUGUAGCCAGUGAAAACUGUUAAAUGUAAAACAAUAUCAUUGGGAAAAAACUCAACUGGUUAAAUAUUCAAAAACACUUGAAAAAAAAAACAAUCAACAAAAUUUAUAAAAAGAAACCAAAAGAAAUUACAAAAAAACCCACACAUUGACUAUACAUAUUCAAACAAACAUACAAAUACAUUUAAGAGGAAAGCAAUACAAGAGAAUAAACCGUAAAAUUUUGGUGAGUAACAUAGUAAAGCCAUACUUUGAAACCCACUUAUAUUAGAAUAUAUGACACAAAGUACUGAUUUAAGAGCACUCUCAGAAGCCCAAGCCUAGUACAACGCUAAUUACAGCUCAAACCCCAAACGUGAGCACACAUUCAUAUACCUACAGCGGAUUUAAUUUGAAUAUGUAGUUCAAUAAGAUAGGUCGAU